UACAGAGGGUGCAAGCGUUAAUCGGAAUUACUGGGCGUAAAGCGUGCGUAGACGGUCAUGUAAGUCGGGUGUGAAAGCCCCGGGCUCAACCUGGGAAUUGCAUUCGAGACUGCAUGGCUAGGGUGCAGAAGAGAAAAGCGGAAUUCCACGUGUAGCGGUGAAAUGCGUAGAGAUGUGGAGGAACACCAGUGGCGAAGGCGGCUUUUUGGUCUGUAACUGACGCUGAGGCGCGAAAGCGUGGGGAGCAAACAGG
This 253-nucleotide ribosomal RNA is filed under the name uncultured bacterium. RNAcentral describes it as "partial 16S ribosomal RNA". It matches the Rfam family "Bacterial small subunit ribosomal RNA", at positions 524 to 776 of the family's 1533-position model. The record is from RNAcentral.